Molecule: long non-coding RNA, 152 nt
Organism: Thalassophryne amazonica
Lineage: Eukaryota; Metazoa; Chordata; Actinopteri; Batrachoidiformes; Batrachoididae
Exons: 3
Source: RefSeq, a predicted model, not a curated record
AAAGGUAGACAUAUUGUGUGUGCAAGAGACCAAGUGGAAGGAAAAUAAGAGCGGGAGCAUCAGCGGUGGAUACAAGUUGUUGUACCAUGUUGAGGAAAGGAAGAGAAAUGGUGUUGGGGUCAUUUUAAAGGAAGACUAUGUUAAAAGUGUGU